This is a long non-coding RNA of Vigna angularis (adzuki bean), 1251 nucleotides long. RefSeq lists it as uncharacterized. The record is from RefSeq and is a predicted model, not a curated record. NCBI's taxonomy places the organism in Eukaryota, Viridiplantae, Streptophyta, Magnoliopsida, Fabales, Fabaceae. The transcript has 3 exons.
AGCAUACUAUAUCAGACUUAGCUUCAGCAGUUAGUUUAACUCACUUUGCAAACAUUGAUGCACUGAAUCAACCACUCAUUUUGUUUAUAAAAUAAAUAGAGUAGAUGGAGAGUGAUAAACAUAAGAGAAGUAUUUAGAGAAAGAAGGAAUUGUGAAAGAGAGCAUUUGGAGCCAGCAACGAACUGAAAGCCACUACAAAAGCAGGUGGGAACAAAACGAAGCGAGUUACAAAAUAGGCAUAUCAAGGUCAAAAGCUAUUGGAGAAAGCAAUAUGAGAAGAGCUAGCAGCAGCAACAAUGGUGAGAAUAAAAAGGGUUGCAGUAGAGGACACUGGAGACCCUCUGAAGAUGAGAGACGAAACUUGUGAAGCAAUAUGGUCCGCAAAACUGGAACUUUAUUUCAGAACAUCUAGAAGGAAGAUCAGGGAAAAGUUGUAGAUUGAGAUGGUACAAUCAACUAGACCCAAACAUCAUCAAAUGGGCUGCAAUAGCCAGAUUCUUCCCAGGAAAAACUGACAACACUGUCAAGAAUCAAUUCCAUGUAUUAAUGGCCAGAAAGAAGAGGGAGCGUUUGGCACUAUUUGGUGACACAUUUGCUCAUAAUCCUCUAACUAAUCUUAGGAUUGCGAUAUGGUAACAAUUAAAAUUUGAAAACAAUUUAACAACGGUCACGUAUUAGUUUUUUAUUGGAAGGUAAGAUUUUAUUUUUUUUUGCAGUCACUUGUGGUGAAAAGAAAAGCAGAUUUACUUUUUUGAGAUUCCAAAAUUACUCCUCUAUGCACCCUCCAUUUUCAACUCAGAUUUCAUUCCUCUCUCUUUUCAUUUCGGUCUUCUCGCCAACCUCCAUCAAAACUGUACUUUGUCCAACUCAUUGUGGAGCAAAGACCCCAUGUGGGUGUUUCAGCAAGGUAGUUCAAAUGCCUCAACAUUGGAAGCCAAGAGAUGCUCCAGUAAUUGAUUACAUGGUGCUUGCAACCGAUUACUAGUGGCUUAAUAGGUACCCAAUUGGGAUAACGUGACCCCAUGGUGAUUUUACUGUGCUUAAGGCUGCCUUUGUCCAUUGUUUUUAAUGGAUGACUCCUGUUGGUCAUGGUUGAUGGUUGCAAGUGUAUCAAAACUCAUCUUUGUCCAGUCUAUUAUGGAGCAAAGACCCCAUGUGAGUAUUUCAGCAAGGUAGUUAGAGUCCCUCAGCACUUGAAGCCGAUACAUGCCUUACAGUGGCUUAAUGGCUAUUUGUACAAAAACUUGCAAG